This 277-nucleotide long non-coding RNA is filed under the name Rhipicephalus microplus (southern cattle tick). Its description in RNAcentral is "uncharacterized LOC119185750". Lineage: Eukaryota; Metazoa; Arthropoda; Arachnida; Ixodida; Ixodidae. The record is from RNAcentral.
UACUCCCUGAAGAACUCGUACAAAAGCUGCGAGAAAAAAAGUACCAAAAUGAUGCACCUUCUGGGAAUGGACCUUCUUGUUGCUGUUGCCGUCGCACUGGCUGUGAUCAUCAUGGCUCCUAACGAAGCGGUUGCUCUGGGUGAUGGCGUCGGAGGCAUUAGUUCAAUUGGUUUGCCCAAGAAGUGAACGACUGCUGAAUAUGGAUCAAGCUCUGGCCAUUACUGCCGGCUAUUGAAUCGCUUUUCAAAUGCAAUCAAACUUUAAUACGUGAGAAGGA